Molecule: ribosomal RNA, 253 nt
Filed under: uncultured bacterium
Lineage: Bacteria
Description: partial 16S ribosomal RNA
Rfam family: Bacterial small subunit ribosomal RNA
Source: RNAcentral
UACAGAGGGUGCGAGCGUUAAUCGGAAUUACUGGGCGUAAAGGGUGCGUAGGUGGUUUGAUAAGUUAGGUGUGAAAGCCCUGGGCUUAACCUGGGAAUGGCGCCUAAUACUGUUGAGCUAGAGUACUGUAGAGGAAGGUGGAAUUUCCGGUGUAGCGGUGAAAUGCGUAGAUAUCGGAAGGAACAUCAGUGGCGAAGGCGACUUUCUGGACAGAUACUGACACUGAGGCACGAAAGCAUGGGGAGCAAACAGG